GGGCGUGCUAAGACGCGCUCCUUCUCCUCAACAAAAGCGUAACAGGAAGACGGAAAGAAGCAGAGAGAGGGAAAAAAUUUCAGUUGAUGCAAAAUGGCAGAAGAAGGCACCAAAGCGGAUGCGCAGCUUUUUCAACUCCUUUCCAAUCUCCUCCAGCAAGUGGGUUUGAUUUCAAUUUCGGUUUCACAAUGCUCUUCUUGCUUCAAUUUCAUUAGUUAUUGUUAUUUUUCUCGUAAUGGAUGGUUGAUUUGGGAGUCGGAAUCGGCUUCAUUUAAUCAUAUGGGUAACAUAAAAAUGGCGUCUUUUUGUUGAUUUCACGAUGUUUAUGAUCUGGGUAUCAUCAAGUUGUUCUUGUGGUUGGGGGUGAUUGAAACUCAAACAGCCUGUCUUUAGUUUGUUUAUAUGUUCUUGUCAAUUCAAUUUCGUUUCACCUUUUGGAUUUAGGAAUUGUUUGGCAAUGAUCCUGGGUUCAUUUAGGACCUUUUUGCAAAUAUGAUUCCGUUUUAUUUUGUAUCCGAGCUGUUAACUAUGAGUAAUGUAUAAUUGUGAAUGCUUUUUGAAAUAAAUGUCUUUACACAAAAUAAAAAGGCAAUUUUUAUUUGUUUAAUUGUGGGAAUUAUUGGAAAAUAAUGUUCCUACCGCUCGAAUACAGUUUCUCUCAACACCGCUUAUAUCUGAAGCACCUCUAGCAGCUUUUUCCAACUGAAUUGCAAGCUUUUGGAAAUGUUGUCCUAUUGCCUAAAAGCACUAAACCAAGUCAUUACACCAGACCCAGGAUGUUAUCUGAGUUCCUAAUUUACAUUGUGGCUGGCAAAGAGGACUUGUGGGUUCUUUAAUGGGAGAAUAGAUGAUAUGGCUUGAUGAAGCUUUGAUGAGUUGAUAGAAAAACUUGUCAAUUAUUUCAAUUUAUUGAGUUGGGAAAUAGCUUAAGAAGCUUGCAGAGUAGAUUAAGAUUGCAUGAUUUCAAUGAAAAUAUUUUUUUAUAUAUAGAUUGUGUUUGUUUUGACAACUAUAGAUUGUGUUUGUUAAUAAUCAGUUUGCUUAUGUGCUGUGGCCUCUUGGAUAUUCGUGAUGCUGACAGCAUUUAAAUUGUUUAAUAUAAUAACUUGCUGCAUUUGUUAUGGAAACUAGUUUGAAUGUACCUUGAGCAUGGCGUGAGCUCCUUUUCUUGGGGAAGAUAUGAAGGAUGCAAACUUGUUUUCAUGAUUAAGGAAAAUAAUGCUAGAUGUUAUCUCUUUUUUUCUAAUUUGGUUGGAGGGAGGAAGGUGGUUAAGAUGGGGGAGAGGAGGGACUCAAACUUGGGACCUUAUCCAAUUGAGAGGUGCACCCACAACAAAGCUAAACUUGUGCCUUUGAAAUUAAGGGUUAAGAGGGCUCCACUAUCUCUUGAGUUGCAAAUAAUUGCUGCUUGUAUGCAUACAUGAUAAUGUGAAUCUUUGAUCUUCUCUAUCUGUUCAUUUUUGUGAACUUUUCUUCAUCAUUGUAGGUGGAGGCACUAACCAAUCAAGAAGAAGUUGAAUUGCGAUCCAAAAUUGAAGCACUGGGAUUAGAGGUUACCAAAGUUCCUUCAAAGUCGACAAAGAAUCUUGAUGAGGUAGAUUAAAGUCCUACUUAAACUUGUUUUAAAUGUUACGAGAUUCUUUCAUUUUCUCCUUUAUAUCCGCUGUUGGGAUAAACAUUGUCUCUUGUAGAGUCAGCUUAUUAUAUCUGUUCAUUUUAACCGACAGCUGGAAAUCGCAAGAGAGUUGGAUAAAUUAUCAGCAAAAUUGGAUGAUGUAGAUGAAAUGAUAUCCUCAGCCAUGAAUGCAGAUCCACAGGUACAGUCACUCUUGAGUGGCACUGCUGAUGUAUGGAUGCCAGUUAUUACAGCUACUGCUGAAGAGAGACGUAAUUUUACAGCAGCACUUGGAGAUGAUGCUACUGAAGAAAAGGGGAAAACUUCAAUUUAAUUGCCGCUUGUCUGCUCUCACAGAAAAUAAUCUUUCUUAUAACCUAAUGUGUUUGCCAUAUCUUCCUAAACAUUGAGAUCAUUAUUUUUUUUCUCAAUAUUUUUCAUAUAUUCCAUUUUUCUUGUCCUUCACCUUAUCCUUCUCAUUUAAUGAUAACAUAUGCAUUUCUUAGCUAAUUUGGUAUAAUUUAGAUUCAUUCAACGGUA
RNAcentral lists this unclassified non-coding RNA (2155 nucleotides) under Hevea brasiliensis (rubber tree). Lineage: Eukaryota; Viridiplantae; Streptophyta; Magnoliopsida; Malpighiales; Euphorbiaceae. The record is from RNAcentral.